RNAcentral lists this ribosomal RNA (440 nucleotides) under uncultured bacterium. RNAcentral's name for it is "partial 16S ribosomal RNA". It matches the Rfam family "Bacterial small subunit ribosomal RNA", at positions 338 to 795 of the family's 1533-position model. The record is from RNAcentral.
CCUACGGGAGGCAGCAGUGGGGGAUAUUGCACAAUGGGGGGAACCCUGAUGCAGCGACGCCGCGUGGGUGAAGAAGCGCCUCGGCGCGUAAAGCCCUGUCAGCAGGGAAGAAAAUGACGGUACCUGAAGAAGAAGCCCCGGCUAACUACGUGCCAGCAGCCGCGGUAAUACGUAGGGGGCAAGCGUUAUCCGGAUUUACUGGGUGUAAAGGGGGCGCAGACGGCGAUGCAAGCCAGGAGUGAAAGCCCGGGGCUCAAACCCGGGACUGCUCUUGGAACUGCGUGGCUGGAGUGCAGGAGGGGCAGGCGGAAUUCCUGGUGUAGCGGUGAAAUGCGUAGAUAUCAGGAGGAAGACCGGUGGCGAAGGCGGCCUGCUGGACUGCAACUGACGUUGAGGCCCGAAAGCGUGGGGAGCAAACAGGAUUAGAUACCCUGGUAGUC